UUAAGUUUCUACGUUGAUAAUAUUUUAAAAAAAUGAUUUAGAUAUAAAUUUUGUGAAGUCUGAACAAUUUCGUGACCCCGUCCCCAUCAACAAAUUAAAGGAAGUUUUGAAGCCAAGUCAAGAGCUGUUUCAAAACUUGCUUUGAAUCUGUUAGUAGACAAGUCGUGGCCUUCUUCUUAACAUCCACUGAUUGUUUCCAUAUACGGUGAGGGGCAUGAUAUGAACUCAACUCAUGGCGAGUUAGCAAAGUGCAUGGCUUUAUCUCAUCCACUUAUUCCGCAUUCCGAUUUUGGCUUUUAGCAUAUCACCGUUCAGACGAAAACGCAAUCGAUGCUGUCUAGAUUCGCACAAGUUCGCGUCAGCGAGUCAGCGACCAAGAUGGAACUGAAUCAUAAGAGUUAACAACAACAUUUGUUUGCCUCUUCACUAAUUAUAUUCUAUAGUUUGUGCUUUGCCCAAGUUUUUACACUAUGAGCAAGUAGAGUUACUAAGAUGUAGAACACCGAGGUAAAAUGUCCAUACAAUAUCAAAUAAAAAAAUGUAAACCGAAAUGA
This is a long non-coding RNA of Glycine soja, 554 nucleotides long. RefSeq lists it as uncharacterized. Lineage: Eukaryota; Viridiplantae; Streptophyta; Magnoliopsida; Fabales; Fabaceae. The record is from RefSeq and is a predicted model, not a curated record. The transcript has 2 exons.